RNAcentral lists this ribosomal RNA (460 nucleotides) under uncultured bacterium. RNAcentral's name for it is "partial 16S ribosomal RNA". It matches the Rfam family "Bacterial small subunit ribosomal RNA", at positions 338 to 795 of the family's 1533-position model. The record is from RNAcentral.
CCUACGCGAGGCAGCAGUGAGGAAUAUUGGUCAAUGGACGCAAGUCUGAACCAGCCAUGCCGCGUGCAGGAAGACGGCUCUAUGAGUUGUAAACUGCUUUUGUACGAGGGUAAAUCCCGAUACGUGUAUCGGGUUGAAAGUAUCGUACGAAUAAGGAUCGGCUAACUCCGUGCCAGCAGCCGCGGUAAUACGGAGGAUUCAAGCGUUAUCCGGAUUUAUUGGGUUUAAAGGGUGCGUAGGCGGUUCGAUAAGUUAGAGGUGAAAUCCCGGGGCUCAACUCCGGCACUGCCUCUGAUACUGGCGGGCUAGAGUUGAGGUGCGGUAGGCGGAAUGUAUGGUGUAGCGGUGAAAGGCAUAGAGAUCAUACAGAACACCGAUUGCGAAGGCAGCUUACCAAACUACGACUGACGUUGAGGCACGAAAGCGUGGGGAGCGAACAGGAUUAGAUACCCCAGUAGUC